Molecule: ribosomal RNA, 440 nt
Filed under: uncultured bacterium
Lineage: Bacteria
Description: partial 16S ribosomal RNA
Rfam family: Bacterial small subunit ribosomal RNA
Source: RNAcentral
CCUACGGGAGGCAGCAGUGGGGAAUAUUGGACAAUGGGGGGAACCCUGAUCCAGCGACGCCGCGUGAGUGAAGAAGUAUUUCGGUAUGUAAAGCUCUAUCAGCAGGGAAGAAAAUGACGGUACCUGACUAAGAAGCCCCGGCUAACUACGUGCCAGCAGCCGCGGUAAUACGUAGGGGGCAAGCGUUAUCCGGAUUUACUGGGUGUUAAGGGAGCGUAGGCGGUGCAGGAAGUCAGAUGUGAAAGGCCGGGGCUCAACCCCGGGACUGCAUUGGAAACUGUUGAACUGGAGUACAGGAGAGGUAGGCGGAAUGCAUAGGGUAGCGGUGAAAUGCGUAGAUAUUAGGAGGAACACCAGUGGCGAAGGCAGCUUACUGGACUGUAACUGACGUUGAGGCUCGAAAGCGUGGGGAGCAAACAGGAUUAGAUACCCCAGUAGUC